UUAAGCGACUAAGCGUACACGGUGGAUGCCCUGGCAGUCAGAGGCGAUGAAGGACGUGCUAAUCUGCGAUAAGCGUCGGUGAGGUGAUAUGAACCGUUAUAACCGGCGAUUUCCGAAUGGGGAAACCCAGUGUGUUUCGACACACUAUCAUUAACUGAAUCCAUAGGUUAAUGAGGCGAACCGGGGGAACUGAAACAUCUAAGUACCCCGAGGAAAAGAAAUCAACCGAGAUUCCCCCAGUAGCGGCGAGCGAACGGGGAGGAGCCCAGAGCCUGAAUCAGUGUGUGUGUUAGUGGAAGCGUCUGGAAAGGCGUGCGAUACAGGGUGACAGCCCCGUACACAAAAAUGCACAUAUUGUGAGCUCGAUGAGUAGGGCGGGACACGUGGUAUCCUGUCUGAAUAUGGGGGGACCAUCCUCCAAGGCUAAAUACUCCUGACUGACCGAUAGUGAACCAGUACCGUGAGGGAAAGGCGAAAAGAACCCCGGCGAGGGGAGUGAAAAAGAACCUGAAACCGUGUACGUACAAGCAGUGGGAGCCUCUUAAUGGGGUGACUGCGUACCUUUUGUAUAAUGGGUCAGCGACUUAUAUUCUGUAGCAAGGUUAACCGAAUAGGGGAGCCGAAGGGAAACCGAGUCUUAACUGGGCGUUAAGUUGCAGGGUAUAGACCCGAAACCCGGUGAUCUAGCCAUGGGCAGGUUGAAGGUUGGGUAACACUAACUGGAGGACCGAACCGACUAAUGUUGAAAAAUUAGCGGAUGACUUGUGGCUGGGGGUGAAAGGCCAAUCAAACCGGGAGAUAGCUGGUUCUCCCCGAAAGCUAUUUAGGUAGCGCCUCGUGAAUUCAUCUCCGGGGGUAGAGCACUGUUUCGGCAAGGGGGUCAUCCCGACUUACCAACCCGAUGCAAACUGCGAAUACCGGAGAAUGUUAUCACGGGAGACACACGGCGGGUGCUAACGUCCGUCGUGAAGAGGGAAACAACCCAGACCGCCAGCUAAGGUCCCAAAGUCAUGGUUAAGUGGGAAACGAUGUGGGAAGGCCCAGACAGCCAGGAUGUUGGCUUAGAAGCAGCCAUCAUUUAAAGAAAGCGUAAUAGCUCACUGGUCGAGUCGGCCUGCGCGGAAGAUGUAACGGGGCUAAACCAUGCACCGAAGCUGCGGCAGCGACACUAUGUGUUGUUGGGUAGGGGAGCGUUCUGUAAGCCUGUGAAGGUGGCCUGUGAGGGUUGCUGGAGGUAUCAGAAGUGCGAAUGCUGACAUAAGUAACGAUAAAGCGGGUGAAAAGCCCGCUCGCCGGAAGACCAAGGGUUCCUGUCCAACGUUAAUCGGGGCAGGGUGAGUCGACCCCUAAGGCGAGGCCGAAAGGCGUAGUCGAUGGGAAACAGGUUAAUAUUCCUGUACUUGGUGUUACUGCGAAGGGGGGACGGAGAAGGCUAUGUUGGCCGGGCGACGGUUGUCCCGGUUUAAGCGUGUAGGCUGGUUUUCCAGGCAAAUCCGGAAAACCAAGGCUGAGGCGUGAUGACGAAGCACUACGGUGCUGAAGCGACAAAUGCCCUGCUUCCAGGAAAAGCCUCUAAGCAUCAGGUAACAUCAAAUCGUACCCCAAACCGACACAGGUGGUCAGGUAGAGAAUACCAAGGCGCUUGAGAGAACUCGGGUGAAGGAACUAGGCAAAAUGGUGCCGUAACUUCGGGAGAAGGCACGCUGAUAUGUAGGUGAAGCGACUUGCUCGUGGAGCUGAAAUCAGUCGAAGAUACCAGCUGGCUGCAACUGUUUAUUAAAAACACAGCACUGUGCAAACACGAAAGUGGACGUAUACGGUGUGACGCCUGCCCGGUGCCGGAAGGUUAAUUGAUGGGGUUAGCGGCAACGCGAAGCUCUUGAUCGAAGCCCCGGUAAACGGCGGCCGUAACUAUAACGGUCCUAAGGUAGCGAAAUUCCUUGUCGGGUAAGUUCCGACCUGCACGAAUGGCGUAAUGAUGGCCAGGCUGUCUCCACCCGAGACUCAGUGAAAUUGAACUCGCUGUGAAGAUGCAGUGUACCCGCGGCAAGACGGAAAGACCCCGUGAACCUUUACUAUAGCUUGACACUGAACAUUGAGCCUUGAUGUGUAGGAUAGGUGGGAGGCUUUGAAGUGUGGACGCCAGUCUGCAUGGAGCCGACCUUGAAAUACCACCCUUUAAUGUUUGAUGUUCUAACGUUGGCCCGUAAUCCGGGUUGCGGACAGUGUCUGGUGGGUAGUUUGACUGGGGCGGUCUCCUCCUAAAGAGUAACGGAGGAGCACGAAGGUUGGCUAAUCCUGGUCGGACAUCAGGAGGUUAGUGCAAUGGCAUAAGCCAGCUUGACUGCGAGCGUGACGGCGCGAGCAGGUGCGAAAGCAGGUCAUAGUGAUCCGGUGGUUCUGAAUGGAAGGGCCAUCGCUCAACGGAUAAAAGGUACUCCGGGGAUAACAGGCUGAUACCGCCCAAGAGUUCAUAUCGACGGCGGUGUUUGGCACCUCGAUGUCGGCUCAUCACAUCCUGGGGCUGAAGUAGGUCCCAAGGGUAUGGCUGUUCGCCAUUUAAAGUGGUACGCGAGCUGGGUUUAGAACGUCGUGAGACAGUUCGGUCCCUAUCUGCCGUGGGCGCUGGAGAACUGAGGGGGGCUGCUCCUAGUACGAGAGGACCGGAGUGGACGCAUCACUGGUGUUCGGGUUGUCAUGCCAAUGGCACUGCCCGGUAGCUAAAUGCGGAAGAGAUAAGUGCUGAAAGCAUCUAAGCACGAAACUUGCCCCGAGAUGAGUUCUCCCUGAGACUUAGAGUCUCCUGAAGGAACGUUGAAGACGACGACGUUGAUAGGCCGGGUGUGUAAGCGCAGCGAUGCGUUGAGCUAACCGGUACUAAUGAACCGUGAGGCUUAACCUU
This 2902-nucleotide ribosomal RNA is filed under the name Escherichia coli KTE15. RNAcentral describes it as "bacterial LSU rRNA". It matches the Rfam family "Bacterial large subunit ribosomal RNA". Lineage: Bacteria; Pseudomonadati; Pseudomonadota; Gammaproteobacteria; Enterobacterales; Enterobacteriaceae. The record is from RNAcentral.